This 1229-nucleotide long non-coding RNA is filed under the name Physcomitrium patens. Its description in RNAcentral is "long non-coding RNA (PPAT_LNC012451)". The record is from RNAcentral. Lineage: Eukaryota; Viridiplantae; Streptophyta; Bryopsida; Funariales; Funariaceae.
UUGAUAUCCGGAGAAGGCCGGUUAUGAACCAAGGUUAAAAUCAGACCUUGAGGCACAAAACUGAGUCUCGACGACAUUUCCUGGACUCUUUGGCAGAUCAAAGAAUAGGAUUUGAUAGAAGAUUGGAUAGAGUCUCUAUAGGCAUUGAUUUUGGAUGAUUUGAAUGUGUGUUGACUUUGUAAGAGCUUUGCAAAGUCAAGGUUUGUUUUGGAUGACUUAGAUUUUGUGAAAUAAGACAGGGUUUAUAUUUUGGGUGAUUUCAAGAGUUUUGUAAUAGAUCUAUGGAUGAAAUUUUGUGGGUUAAUGGUUAUAGUUGUGUUCAAUAUGUUUUGUGAAUUUGAACUCAAUUUAAUAGUUGAAUUGAGGAUUAUUGAGGUUUAAGUGGAUCAAGGUCUCAGAAAGUAGAAUUUUAGGUCUAGUGAGGAUUUUUAAGAUUUCUUACAAUCUACUAGUUGGAUUGGAGUGAAAUUUAUGUGAGAAGAUAUAAGACUUAUUUUUCUAUGUGUAUGAGAAUUUUAAGAUCAAUCGAAUGGUGAGAAGAGAGAUAUUGGCUCUAAGAGAUUGACAUUAAGAUUAAAAAAGGAGGCCAGCCAAUACCCGAGCACGUUUUUGAGGUUAUCGUCUAUUUGGUAAUUCCAAUCAUUUCAAAAAUUUUGUGCUUGUUUUUAACUUAGUUUUCAAAAAGUGUGAAAAUUUUGAGUUAAGAUCAAUGGUUCAUUCAUUAGUUAUUGAGGUUUAAUUCUCUUGUAGAAAUAAUUAGAAUUUGGUUAGGAAUUGAUUUAGGAUUUGCGAUUAGGAUUAGGGUUUGAUUUGGAUUUGAUUUAGGAUCUAGAGUUAAGAUUUAGGAUUUGGUUUAGGAUUUGGUUAGGAUUUGAUUUAGGAUUUGGUUAGGAUUUGGUUUAGAAUUUAGGAUUUGGUUUAAGAUUUAGGGUUUGCUUUAGGAUUUAGGAUUUGAUUUCGGAUUCAAGAUUUUAUUAGGAUUUUUUUAGGAUUUUUUUAGGAUUUAAGAUUUAAUUAGUUUUGGCCUAAAUUUUGAAUGAAGUACAAUAGGAUUUUAACUAGGAUUAAAUUAAGAUUGAAUUGAGAUGUAUUUGAGAUAUAUUUGUGAUUAUUCUAAUAUUUCUUUAAGAUUUUUUAUUAUUUCUUUGAAAUUUCUUUGAGGUUUCUUGAAUUUGAUUAAAGCUUGCUUAGCAUUAUUAUGGUCUAAUUAGAGUUUAGUUAGUAUUAUA